This 603-nucleotide ribosomal RNA is filed under the name Purpureocillium lilacinum. Its description in RNAcentral is "eukaryotic LSU rRNA". The stretch from base 237 to 390 matches the Rfam family "5.8S ribosomal RNA". The record is from RNAcentral. Lineage: Eukaryota; Fungi; Ascomycota; Sordariomycetes; Hypocreales; Ophiocordycipitaceae.
AAAAAUGUAACAAGGUCUCCGUUGGUGAACCAGCGGAGGGAUCAUUACCGAGUUAUACAACUCCCAAACCCACUGUGAACCUUACCUCAGUUGCCUCGGCGGGAACGCCCCGGCCGCCGGCCCCCGCGCCGGCGCCGGACCCAGGCGCCCGCCGCAGGGACCCCAAACUCUCUUGCAUUACGCCCAGCGGGCGGAAUUUCUUCUCUGAGUUGCACAAGCAAAAACAAAUGAAUCAAAACUUUCAACAACGGAUCUCUUGGUUCUGGCAUCGAUGAAGAACGCAGCGAAAUGCGAUAAGUAAUGUGAAUUGCAGAAUUCAGUGAAUCAUCGAAUCUUUGAACGCACAUUGCGCCCGCCAGCAUUCUGGCGGGCAUGCCUGUUCGAGCGUCAUUUCAACCCUCGAGCCCCCCCGGGGGCCUCGGUGUUGGGGGACGGCACACCAGCCGCCCCCGAAAUGCAGUGGCGACCCCGCCGCAGCCUCCCCUGCGUAGUAGCACACACCUCGCACCGGAGCGCGGAGGCGGUCACGCCGUAAAACGCCCAACUUUCUUAGAGUUGACCUCGGAUCAGGUAGGAAUACCCGCUGAACUUAAGCAUAUCAAA